GACGAACGCUGGCGGCGUGCUUAACACAUGCAAGUCGAACGGAAAGGCCCCUUUGGGGGUACUCGAGUAGCGCACGGGUGCGUAACACGUGAGUAACCUGCCCUUGACUUCGGGAUAACUUCAGGAAACUGGGGCUAAUACCGGCUAGGAAUCCUUGCUGCAUGGUGGGGGUUGGAAAGCUUCGGCGGUUUUGGAUGGACUCGCGGCUUAUCAGCUUGUUGGUGGGGUAGUGGCUUACCAAGGCUUUGACGGGUAGCCGGCCUGAGAGGGCGACCGGCCACAUUGGGACUGAGAUACGGCCCAGACUCCUACGGGAGGCAGCAGUGGGGAAUAUUGCACAAUGGGCGGAAGCCUGAUGCAGCAACGCCGCGUGCGGGAUGACGGCCUUCGGGUUGUAAACCGCUUUCAGCAGGGGCGAAGCUUGUGGUGACGGUACCUGCAGAAGAAGCACCGGCUAACUACGUG
RNAcentral lists this ribosomal RNA (465 nucleotides) under uncultured bacterium. RNAcentral's name for it is "partial 16S ribosomal RNA". It matches the Rfam family "Bacterial small subunit ribosomal RNA", at positions 28 to 507 of the family's 1533-position model. The record is from RNAcentral.